UAUUUGUGUUAAGCCUCUAUAAUAUUAUUUGAAUGUUCAUUCUCGUGUGAUAAUAAUAAAUGUCAUAAUAUCCAUUCUUUAAUUUCUAUGGUGGUAGGCAUUGUUAUUGUUUGUUAUCCUAGCCGACUUCGACGUGAUAUCACACAAUAGAUUAAUAAGUUAAAAUAAUUCAUUACGCAAUAGGCAUUACUGCAUUAGUCAUUUAUCUUGUAGGUGUUCCGUGGCGGUACUAACUAUUAAUUGCUAAAUAUUAUAAAUUCAUUUUGGGGUUAACUUGUUUGUUUAAGAAUAGUAGAAAGGUACAUGAUUUUUUAUGAAUAGCAAUGGCAAUUCCACAAUUAACACAUAAACAUUCAAGAGCAGGAUUUGUGGAAUUGAAAAUCUUUUUCCAUAAUAAUAAUUUUAAUGUUGUUGGACCAGUUGAAAUUAAAUUAUUCCAAUUUGUACAAUAUUUUAAUAGGACUUGGUUAACAGGUCUAUUUGCUGAGUAACUUUCAAUUGCUGAUAUUAAUUGUGAACUGGCGCACAAACUAUGUACUGGAAAUAAGUCAUGAGAAUCUGAUGUCCAAUAUAAAUAUGCCAAACCAAGUACAUGGAUAUUUAUAGGCAGUGUUGGAAAUGCUUAUUAAUGUAUGUACGAGUGGUAUAAUAAUUAAUAGUACCGGUUAGCUGAGGCCGGUAUGGAAAUAAAGCAACCAAGAAAUUUUGGAACAAACUGUCCUAAUAGCUACAAGUUGAUGAUGAAGCCAAUAUUAUUGUAGAGCAUCUUGAGCCAGCAGUAUGCCAAAUUAUUGUAUUCAAAUGGCGUCCUCAAUUUCCCAGCAAGUACAUCUGCCUAUAUUAGAACCCUUACCAAUAUAUGAGCCACGAUAUUCUGGACAAGGUUAUUCAAGUCCAAAGAAGAGGAGUCCAACAAUUAUUGAAAAUUAUAUCAAUGUUCACUCAAUUUCAAACAUUUUCAAUUCUUUUAUUGAGAAAUAUUUGAUUGAGGAUAUUGCUGAUUCUCCUAGUUCUAUUGAUUAUUUGAUGACUUAUCCAUCUUCAAAACAAAAUAAAUCAACUAUAUUGAUGUUGCAACCAAGCAGUCAUACCCAGUGUUAACAUUAAAGACAAAUAAUGUUAAAAAAAAUUAUGUUUCGUACAACCAUCAAAUUUAUCAGGUAUACACGUUCAACAAUCUGAAAACAGUGUUAUAAAUAAAUCUUCUACCAAAAACAAUGAAAUGAAAAAUGAUGACAUCAAAACUCUCAGUACUGAUUGGUAUCAAAGACAUUGGUGAUAGCACAAGGCGUUUGAUGUCCAAAAUGUUUGUAGAUGAAGUUCUUUUCCAUUAUUCACUAUUAGGAUUCAAGAAAAAAAAACUUUUCUCAACUAUCUACCUACCGUUUAUUAAUUGACACUAUACGGCUUAAUCCCAAGUUCCAAAAUAAAUUGGGUAAGGAAAUUUAUGUGGCGUUGGCCAAUUGGUUAUUGCAUGCUAAGUUUCGUCUUCAGUCUUCCUAAUAUACAUACAACCUAUCACCCAAAUAAGUGAAUUAUGUCAUAUAUCCAUAACCUACUUACCUACAUAUUUCUAUUAUUAUAAUAUUAAAGUGUUUUUUUUCUUGUAAGUUGUAACAAUCCUAUAAUAAUCAUAAUAUAUAAAUAUAUUUGUAUUUAUAGCUUAUACAAUUACCUACAAUGUUAAUAUUGUACUAACUUUGUAUACCCCAGGGGCAGUGUUGAGU
This 1727-nucleotide long non-coding RNA is filed under the name Acyrthosiphon pisum (pea aphid). RNAcentral describes it as "uncharacterized LOC103307760, transcript variant X4". Lineage: Eukaryota; Metazoa; Arthropoda; Insecta; Hemiptera; Aphididae. The record is from RNAcentral.